GACGAACGCUGGCGGCGUGCUUAACACAUGCAAGUCAAACGGAAAGGCCCUGCUUUUGUGGGGUGCUCGAGUGGCGAACGGGUGAGUAACACGUGAGUAACCUGCCCUUGACUUUGGGAUAACUUCAGGAAACUGGGGCUAAUACCGGAUAGGAGCUCCUGCUGCAUGGUGGGGGUUGGAAAGUUUCGGCGGUUGGGGAUGGACUCGCGGCUUAUCAGCUUGUUGGUGGGGUAGUGGCUUACCAAGGCUUUGACGGGUAGCCGGCCUGGGAGGGUGACCGGCCACAUUGGGACUGAGAUACGGCCCAGACUCCUACGGGAGGCAGCAGUGGGGAAUAUUGCACAAUGGGCGGAAGCCUGAUGCAGCAACGCCGCGUGCGGGAUGACGGCCUUCGGGUUGUAAACCGCUUUCGCCUGUGACGAAGCGUGAGUGACGGUAAUGGGUAAAGAAGCACCGGCUAACUACGUG
This 468-nucleotide ribosomal RNA is filed under the name uncultured bacterium. RNAcentral describes it as "partial 16S ribosomal RNA". It matches the Rfam family "Bacterial small subunit ribosomal RNA", at positions 28 to 507 of the family's 1533-position model. The record is from RNAcentral.